GAUGAACGCUGGCGGCGUGCCUAAUACAUGCAAGUCGAGCGAACAGACGAGGAGCUUGCUCCUCUGACGUUAGCGGCGGACGGGUGAGUAACACGUGGAUAACCUACCUAUAAGACUGGGAUAACUUCGGGAAACCGGAGCUAAUACCGGAUAAUAUAUUGAACCGCAUGGUUCAAUAGUGAAAGACGGUUUUGCUGUCACUUAUAGAUGGAUCCGCGCCGCAUUAGCUAGUUGGUAAGGUAACGGCUUACCAAGGCAACGAUGCGUAGCCGACCUGAGAGGGUGGUCGGCCACACUGGAACUGAGACACGGUCCAGACUCCUACGGGAGGCAGCAGUAGGGAAUCUUCCGCAAUGGGCGAAAGCGUGACGGAGCAACGCCGCGUGAGUGAUGAAGGUCUUCGGAUCGUAAAACUCUGUUAUUAGGGAAGAACAAAUGUGUAAGUAACUAUGCACGUCUUGACGGUACCUAAUCAGAAAGCCACGGCUAACUACGUG
RNAcentral lists this ribosomal RNA (497 nucleotides) under uncultured bacterium. RNAcentral describes it as "partial 16S ribosomal RNA". It matches the Rfam family "Bacterial small subunit ribosomal RNA", at positions 28 to 507 of the family's 1533-position model. The record is from RNAcentral.